AUAAAAUCAAAAUCUCAUAAAAAAAUGACUGCGAUUUCUUGUCUUUGUAUUUUUAGUCUUAUUUUUACUGUAUUUCUAUCUUCCAAUGU
Molecule: non-coding RNA, 89 nt
Filed under: Foraminifera environmental sample
Lineage: Eukaryota; Foraminifera
Source: RNAcentral